Molecule: ribosomal RNA, 116 nt
Filed under: Yersinia enterocolitica
Lineage: Bacteria; Pseudomonadati; Pseudomonadota; Gammaproteobacteria; Enterobacterales; Yersiniaceae
Also listed under: 3 other names
Source: RNAcentral
CCUGGCGGCAAUAGCGCGGUGGUCCCACCUGACCCCAUGCCGAACUCAGAAGUGAAACGCCGUAGCGCCGAUGGUAGUGUGGGGUCUCCCCAUGCGAGAUUAGGACACUGCCAGGU